Molecule: ribosomal RNA, 459 nt
Filed under: uncultured bacterium
Lineage: Bacteria
Description: partial 16S ribosomal RNA
Rfam family: Bacterial small subunit ribosomal RNA
Source: RNAcentral
CCUACGAGUGGCAGCAGUGAGGAAUAUUGGUCAAUGGCCGCGAGGCUGAACCAGCCAAGUCGCGUGCGGGAAGACGGCUCUAUGGGUUGUAAACUUCUUUUGUACGGGAGUAAACAGAGAUACGUGUAUCUCACUGAAAGUACCCGACGAAAAAGCAUCGGCUAACUCCGUGCCAGCAGCCGCGGUAAUACGGAGGAUUCAAGCGUUAUCCGGAUUUAUUGGGUUUAAAGGGUGCGUAGGCGGUGGUGCAAGUUAGGGGUCAAAUUGCGGGGCUCAACCCCGUAUUGCCUUUGAUACUGCAUCCCUAGAGAGUACUAGAGGUAGGCGGAAUGUAUGGUGUAGCGGUGAAAUGCAUAGAGAUCAUACAGAACUCCGAUUGCGAAGGCAGCAUACCGGGGCACAACUGACGCUGAUGCACGAAAGCGUGGGGAUCGAACAGGAUUAGAUACCCGAGUAGUC